Tupaia belangeri chinensis (Chinese tree shrew) is the source of this 1172-nucleotide long non-coding RNA. RefSeq lists it as uncharacterized. Lineage: Eukaryota; Metazoa; Chordata; Mammalia; Scandentia; Tupaiidae. The transcript is spliced from 4 exons. The record is from RefSeq and is a predicted model, not a curated record.
GGGGGGGAGGGACCCCAGCAGUUGUCCCCAGCAUGUUUCCCCAGCAGCGUGGCCAGGGCUGAGGGGACACUCAUGGCCUAAAAGGGGCAGAAGAGAAACCUCUGCCUGAAGGGUCCCCCCCUUGCUCCCCCUCAGGGCCAUUCCACCCAGCUCCCACCCCCUGAGGGUUCCCCCCAGGUAGGCUAGCCCAAGGGCCUGAGCCCCUGCAGGCGUUCAGCUCCUGGCUUCAGCCUCUCUCUGCCUCCAGGUGCCCCCGAGCCCCCUGCCUCCGCUUCCUUCUCUGUGAGCUCCUCUGUUAAACAGCCGCAUGCACACGCCUGUUCCUAGGGCUGCUGAGAAAUUCGCUGAGCGGACACGGGCACCCUCAGCUCCUGGUUCAGCUCCUGGUUCAGCUCCCCGCAGGACAAGCACAGUUCUGCAGCCUUCUCAUCAUUUGGCCAGUGACAGGAGACUGACCCCAUGGAGCUGCUCAUCCUCUGUGUCCCCUGUCCACUCUUCCUCUUUCUUGGAGCCUCUGUGCAAAAGGUGCUUCCUGCAGGAAGCCCUCCGUGAUCACCCCAGGAAUGAGAUCUUACUGAUUACCACCUUGUCUUUUACAUAUUUCCCGACUCUAUAUACUCACGGCAAAAUGGAAUGAAUGUUCGAGUUUAUUUGGCUGCAAAACAGAUGGGGAAACCGGAGGGAAGUGACUGGCUCAAGGACACCUCACAAUUCAAAGCAGUGCAGAGCUCAAAACCCCUGACUCCUGGGCAGAGCGUCCCUGCCACCCCCUCAAGCCCACAGGGAUUCGGGGCUGUCUUGUGCUCAGCCGCUCAGCGGCCGCCCCACCGGCUGACCAGAGCCACGUGCUGUUCGUGUUUGAGAUACUCACGUCGCCGUUGUUUUCUUCUCUUCCUUUUAAGGGCUCAGGAUGCAGGAAAACCAACUCAACGUGCAUAAUUUGUUUUGUCAUGGUUGAAAGUCAAAUGCUGGAACAGAUCGAUGCUCGCACGGCGAGCUGGAGCCCAGAAACCUUCGGCAGGAGCAGAAUUUUAAUUCUCCCAUCCCGGGCCCCUUACCCCUCCCCCCAUCCCCAGCACACCCACUUUCUAAGAGUUCCAAAAGCCACUUUCUCCACAAACGGUGCCCGUUGCCUUCACGUCCAAAACCCAUCGCCAGCCUUCGAAGGCAAA